Molecule: ribosomal RNA, 253 nt
Filed under: uncultured bacterium
Lineage: Bacteria
Description: partial 16S ribosomal RNA
Rfam family: Bacterial small subunit ribosomal RNA
Source: RNAcentral
UACGUAGGGUGCAAGCGUUAAUCGGAAUUACUGGGCGUAAAGCGUGCGCAGGCGGCUUUGCAAGACAGGUGUGAAAUCCCCGGGCUUAACCUGGGAACUGCAUUUGUGACUGCAUAGCUAGAGUACGGUAGAGGGGGAUGGAAUUCCGCGUGUAGCAGUGAAAUGCGUAGAUAUGCGGAGGAACACCGAUGGCGAAGGCAAUCCCCUGGACCUGUACUGACGCUCAUGCACGAAAGCGUGGGGAGCAAACAGG